RNAcentral lists this ribosomal RNA (570 nucleotides) under Meyerozyma caribbica. Its description in RNAcentral is "eukaryotic LSU rRNA". It matches the Rfam family "Eukaryotic large subunit ribosomal RNA", at positions 62 to 648 of the family's 3401-position model. The record is from RNAcentral. Lineage: Eukaryota; Fungi; Ascomycota; Pichiomycetes; Serinales; Debaryomycetaceae.
AAACCACCAGGGAUUGCCUUAGUAGCGGCGAGUGAAGCGGCAAAAGCUCAAAUUUGAAAUCUGGCACCUUCGGUGUCCGAGUUGUAAUUUGAAGAUUGUAACCUUGGGGUUGGCUCUUGUCUAUGUUUCUUGGAACAGGACGUCACAGAGGGUGAGAAUCCCGUGCGAUGAGAUGCCCAAUCCUAUGUAAGGUGCUUUCGAAGAGUCGAGUUGUUUGGGAAUGCAGCUCUAAGUGGGUGGUAAAUUCCAUCUAAAGCUAAAUAUUGGCGAGAGACCGAUAGCGAACAAGUACAGUGAUGGAAAGAUGAAAAGAACUUUGAAAAGAGAGUGAAAAAGUACGUGAAAUUGUUGAAAGGGAAGGGUUUGAGAUCAGACUCGAUAUUUUGUGAGCCUUGCCUUCGUGGCGGGGUGACCCGCAGCUUAUCGGGCCAGCAUCGGUUUGGGCGGUAGGAUAAUGGCGUAGGAAUGUGACUUUGCUUCGGUGAAGUGUUAUAGCCUGCGUUGAUGCUGCCUGCCUAGACCGAGGACUGCGAUUUUAUCAAGGAUGCUGGCAUAAUGAUCCCAAACCGC